GAAGCUUUUGGCGCGCAGUCCAAGUUUCUUUCACGCCAUAUCACUCACCACGGCAUUAGCAGUUUCCCUGUGUCGUCAUGUUCUUCGAUUCGUCUCCGACAAACUUCAACAAUGGUCCUUCCUCCCCGGAUGACUCCUACUCGAGUCCUAUGAACGACACUUUCUCAUCCUCCGCGUCUAGCCGCCUUCUCCGGGGAGAUCGAUCCUCCACACGUUCUGCAUUUGCCAACCCCCCAGGCUCAUCCCUCCGCAGAUCUGUUACCUCUCGCAGACCUCCUCCGCCAAUUCCUUCAUCUACUGAAGACGGUCCGCUGUUCUCCUCAUGUCGGCAUGGACAAGACUUCCCAAACCUUCGUAUGGGGACAAACAUCAGCGUCUAGGACAGGAAGGAACAGAUACAGACUUUCUUGACGCAUUUCAUGGAAAAUUGAAGGAGUCAGAGUCAAAAUUGAAGAAUUCUGUGAAGUUGAUAAGAGAGGCAGAGUAUAUGAGGGAAAUUCAGUUAGUUUGUGCUUGAGGUAGAGCAGGAGUGGCUUGAUGUUGAUCCCCGCUAUGUGUUCGAUUACAAUACAGCCCGCUUGAGGUCCUGGCUAUCUUCGAUAUUGUGAGAGGGAUCAGCCCACUGUAUGAGAAGGACGUUCUAGUGAGGAUUUAUAAUCACAAGAGCCUCUACUUCAAUGAGAAAUCUCAACCCAUCAGACAUUGGGAAGAUGGUUUCACUGAAGGGAAUGAGCAUUCGGUGUAGUUCUAUUUCUAUAAUACAGAGAUCAUGGAAGCAGUAUUUAGGUGUCUUGUCUGCGGGUACUAUUCUGAUCCCAUUGUUGUGGAUAGAGGUUUGCUGAUAAGCAGAUUGCAAGGCUUCUGGAAACACUUGAAGUGGGACGCCACACACAGUGAGUUUGUUGUUGCAUGACAAGCUGGUGGAUACUGGAAAGCCAGGUGACAGGGUUGUGAUCACCGGGAUCUACAGGGCUACGAGUGUUAAGAUUUGGACCAACACAGAGAAAGUCAAUUCUUCAAAUUUCAAG
Long non-coding RNA from Tripterygium wilfordii, 1028 nucleotides. RefSeq lists it as uncharacterized. NCBI's taxonomy places the organism in Eukaryota, Viridiplantae, Streptophyta, Magnoliopsida, Celastrales, Celastraceae. The record is from RefSeq and is a predicted model, not a curated record. The transcript is spliced from 5 exons.